GGGAAAAACUAUCGCCACUAGUGAGAAAUAAUAUGUACCUAUAAUUGGUAGGUGUGGGUUCAGAUAGAGUGCAUUUCAUGUCGACGUAUUUGUGUAUGAAUAUAAAGAAGAAGAACACCAAAUGUACCGUACAUGUGAUUUGUUUUAAAAUUAUUUUUUUUUUGUUCUCUACAACAAAAAGUGUGCUGCUGUUUGCGUACAGACAGACGAAAUGACACGUUCAAUGCAACAAUAUAUAAAAGACGGAAAUAAAACUGCGGUCAAAGACAUUUUAAGAUAUGUAUGUAUGUUUGCAUACAUAUGUAUGUGUAUGUAUUUAGUACAUAUGUAAAUUAAUUUAUACAAUGUAUUUAGUAUAUAGUGCUGUUUCUUAUUGUAAUGUGCAAUUUAAAAAUACUUGUUUAUUAUUUUAAAAAUAAAUUUGUUUGUACAUAUGUAAAUAUUUUA
Molecule: long non-coding RNA, 447 nt
Organism: Lucilia sericata (common green bottle fly)
Lineage: Eukaryota; Metazoa; Arthropoda; Insecta; Diptera; Calliphoridae
Exons: 2
Source: RefSeq, a predicted model, not a curated record